GACGAACGCUGGCGGCGUGCUUAACACAUGCAAGUCGAGCGGUAAGGCCCUUUCGGGGGUACACGAGCGGCGAACGGGUGAGUAACACGUGGGUGACCUGCCCUCAGCUCUGGGAUAAGCCUGGGAAACCGGGUCUAAUACUGGAUAUGACUCCAUGACGCAUGUUGUGGGGUGGAAAGCCUUGUGCGGCUGAGGAUGGGCCCGCGGCCUAUCAGCUUGUUGGUGGGGUGAUGGCCUACCAAGGCGACGACGGGUAGCCGGCCUGAGAGGGCGACCGGCCACACUGGGACUGAGACACGGCCCAGACUCCUACGGGAGGCAGCAGUGGGGAAUCUUGCGCAAUGGGCGAAAGCCUGACGCAGCGACGCC
RNAcentral lists this ribosomal RNA (369 nucleotides) under uncultured bacterium. RNAcentral's name for it is "bacterial SSU rRNA". It matches the Rfam family "Bacterial small subunit ribosomal RNA", at positions 28 to 398 of the family's 1533-position model. The record is from RNAcentral.